RNAcentral lists this transfer RNA (97 nucleotides) under Thermomicrobiales bacterium. RNAcentral describes it as "tRNA-Sec". It matches the Rfam family "Selenocysteine transfer RNA". Lineage: Bacteria; Pseudomonadati; Thermomicrobiota; Thermomicrobia; Thermomicrobiales. The record is from RNAcentral.
GGGGGCGGAAGGGGCCCGGUGGCUCCCUCGAUCUUCAAAAUCGCUGAGCGUCGGUGAUCCCGGCGCUGGUGGGUUCGACUCCCAUGCGCCCCCGCCA